This 243-nucleotide ribosomal RNA is filed under the name uncultured Lactobacillus sp. RNAcentral describes it as "partial 16S ribosomal RNA". It matches the Rfam family "Bacterial small subunit ribosomal RNA", at positions 119 to 355 of the family's 1533-position model. The record is from RNAcentral. Lineage: Bacteria; Bacillati; Bacillota; Bacilli; Lactobacillales; Lactobacillaceae.
GGGUAACCUGCCCAAGAGAUCGGGAUAACACCUGGAAACAGAUGCUAAUACCGGAUAACAACAGAUGAUGUCUAUCAACUGUUUAAAAGAUGGUUCUGCUAUCACUCUUGGAUGGACCUGCGGUGCAUUAGCUAGUUGGUAGGGUAACGGCCUACCAAGGCGAUGAUGCAUAGCCGAGUUGAGAGACUGAUCGGCCACAUUGGGACUGAGACACGGCCCAAACUCCUACGGGAGGCAGCAGUU